This 492-nucleotide ribosomal RNA is filed under the name uncultured bacterium. Its description in RNAcentral is "partial 16S ribosomal RNA". It matches the Rfam family "Bacterial small subunit ribosomal RNA", at positions 29 to 507 of the family's 1533-position model. The record is from RNAcentral.
AGUGAACGCUGGCGGUAGGCCUAACACAUGCAAGUCGAACGGCAGCACAGUAAGAGCUUGCUCUUACGGGUGGCGAGUGGCGGACGGGUGAGGAAUACAUCGGAAUCUACUUUUUCGUGGGGGAUAACGUAGGGAAACUUACGCUAAUACCGCAUACGACCUACGGGUGAAAGCAGGGGAUCUUCGGACCUUGCGCGAUUGAAUGAGCCGAUGUCGGAUUAGCUAGUUGGCGGGGUAAAGGCCCACCAAGGCGACGAUCCGUAGCUGGUCUGAGAGGAUGAUCAGCCAGACUGGAACUGAGACACGGUCCAGACUCCUACGGGAGGCAGCAGUGGGGAAUAUUGGACAAUGGGCGCAAGUCUGAUCCAGCCAUACCGCGUGGGUGAAGAAGGCCUUCGGGUUGUAAAGCCCUUUUGUUGGGAAAGAAAAGCAGCAGGUUAAUACCCCGCUGUUCUGACGGUACCCAAAGAAUAAGCACCGGCUAACUUCGUG